This 491-nucleotide ribosomal RNA is filed under the name uncultured bacterium. Its description in RNAcentral is "partial 16S ribosomal RNA". It matches the Rfam family "Bacterial small subunit ribosomal RNA", at positions 29 to 507 of the family's 1533-position model. The record is from RNAcentral.
AGUGAACGCUGGCGGUAGGCCUAACACAUGCAAGUCGAACGGCAGCACAGUAAGAGCUUGCUCUUACGGGUGGCGAGUGGCGGACGGGUGAGGAAUACAUCGGAAUCUACUUUUUCGUGGGGAUAACGUAGGGAAACUUACGCUAAUACCGCAUACGACCUACGGGUGAAAGCAGGGGAUCUUCGGACCUUGCGCGAUUGAAUGAGCCGAUGUCGGAUUAGCUAGUUGGCGGGGUAAAGGCCCACCAAGGCGACGAUCCGUAGCUGGUCUGAGAGGAUGAUCAGCUACACUGGAACUGAGACACGGUCCAGACUCCUACGGGAGGCAGCAGUGGGGAAUAUUGGACAAUGGGCGCAAGCCUGAUCCAGCCAUACCGCGUGGGUGAAGAAGGCCUUCGGGUUGUAAAGCCCUUUUGUUGGGAAAGAAAAGCAGCAGGUUAAUACCCCGCUGUUCCGACGGUACCCAAAGAUUAAGCACCGGCUAACUUCGUG